UGCAGCCAUAAAGGCUGGCAGGAUUUUUCUUUUUGCACAUUUCAUGUUUGCACAAAUAAAGAUGUUUUAUUUAUAUUUUGUACUUGAAAAUAUUGCACAUUUUGUAUGACGAUUAUGACUAUUAAAAUUAUGUUUUAUUAUGGAGAAAGAUUGUACAUUGAAUGUGAAAUGCACUCAAACUCCCACGAUGCAUUGUAGAUGAUGAUGUCACUUCCUCUUCAAAGUUAAUGAAUGAAGGCUACUACUAGCGUUGAUGGUUUUGGCAUGGAGAAAGGGUAGCGUUUGUUUAGCUCCCACAACUUUACCUCAAGUGUGUCUGAAGCACAAGGCUUCAUCAAGUUUUACUCUAAGCUGAAAGUUGAAGUCAACAUUUUCCUCUUGGUCUAUAACCCGGCAAAGUGUUCUACGGUGUACAAUAAAGAAACACAUCAGUA
Engraulis encrasicolus (European anchovy) is the source of this 434-nucleotide long non-coding RNA. RefSeq lists it as uncharacterized. The record is from RefSeq and is a predicted model, not a curated record. Lineage: Eukaryota; Metazoa; Chordata; Actinopteri; Clupeiformes; Engraulidae. The transcript has 2 exons.